GGGGCAGCGGAGUCUUG
Molecule: ribosomal RNA, 17 nt
Filed under: Dendrobium officinale
Lineage: Eukaryota; Viridiplantae; Streptophyta; Magnoliopsida; Asparagales; Orchidaceae
Description: partial 18S ribosomal RNA
Source: RNAcentral